AUGCCACGGGAAUUGUCCUCGGACGUGCUCGUGAACAUCGUCCUGCGGCUCCCUCCGAGCACCCGGCGGCUGACCCGCCUGGUCUGCCGGCACUGGCGCGACGUCGUGGACACGCGCACGGCCAAGAUGCAGAGCUGCGCCAAGCUUCUCGUCGGCACCGGCGAGGGCUCCGCGUACAUCGUGGACGAUCCAUCAACAUCAACAGGGAGCCCCGGAAGAUAUCUUUGGAAAAACAACGACGCCAACGCCCGCCCUGGCCCCCGCGAAGGCACGAUGCCGAUGGUGGUCGGCACCUGCAACGGCCUGAUCUGCCUCCGCGACAAGCGGAUGUCCGACACCGCCAUCACUCUGGUCAACCCGGUCACCGGCGAGAGGCUGUCCCUCCCGCCGCUGCCGUCCGCCCCGGAAAGGACCUGCCUCGUAGGCUGGCACGAGGCGUACGGCUUCGGGUACCACCCCACGGCCGGGCGGUACAAGAUCGUGCAUGUGGACGCAUACGCUAAGAGAGGAAGCUUGCAGCAGUUGAAGGUGUUCACGUUGGGGGAGUCGUCAUGGCGGGACGUUGCCACGGGCUCUCUCCCGAGAUGCAAUUACAGCGCCGGCAUCGUGGGCGUCGACGGCACCAUGUACUGGGCCGCCAAGAAGGGGAAGAAGCUCAUGGCGUUCGACCUCGGCCACGAGCGCCUCAGCUUCAUCAAGUCGCCACCGGAUGCGCCGUCUGACGGCUGGCAUCUGACGGAGGUGCGGGCGAGGUUGGCGAUCCUCUAUUCUCUCUCGCCGGCUGAAAAGUCCGAGGUGUGGGUUCUAGAGGACGCGUUGACAAUGAAAGAGCACACAUGGAGCCGGUUGUACAUAGUGGAGUCGGACAUACCGCCACACUCAUUGCCGAUGUCCUGUCAUCUCAUUAGGGAUGUCAUAUGA
This 921-nucleotide ribosomal RNA is filed under the name Triticum aestivum (bread wheat). Its description in RNAcentral is "partial small subunit ribosomal RNA". The record is from RNAcentral. Lineage: Eukaryota; Viridiplantae; Streptophyta; Magnoliopsida; Poales; Poaceae.